Molecule: vault RNA, 89 nt
Organism: Leptobrachium leishanense (Leishan spiny toad)
Lineage: Eukaryota; Metazoa; Chordata; Amphibia; Anura; Megophryidae
Gene: Vault
Rfam family: Vault RNA
About the family: This family of RNAs are found as part of the enigmatic vault ribonucleoprotein complex. The complex consists of a major vault protein (MVP), two minor vault proteins (VPARP and TEP1), and several small untranslated RNA molecules. It has been suggested that the vault complex is involved in drug resistance.
Source: Ensembl
GGGUCAGCCAUAGCUCAGCGGUUACUUCCAUCAAAACUUUGCACAUCCUUACCCAGGAUCGAUUCCCGCGGGCGCCAUCUGACUCUUUA